CCUACGGGGGGCAGCAGUGAGGAAUAUUGGUCAAUGGACGAGAGUCUGAACCAGCCAAGUAGCGUGAAGGAUGACUGCCCUAUGGGUUGUAAACUUCUUUUAUAUGGGAAUAAAAUGUUCCACGUGUGGGAUUUUGUAUGUACCAUAUGAAUAAGGAUCGGCUAACUCCGUGCCAGCAGCCGCGGUAAUACGGAGGAUCCGAGCGUUAUCCGGAUUUAUUGGGUUUAAAGGGAGCGUAGGUGGAUUGGUAAGUCAGUUGUGAAAGUUUGCGGCUCAACCGUAAAAUUGCAGUUGAAACUGGCAGUCUUGAGUACAGUAGAGGUGGGCGGAAUGCGUGGUGUAGCGGUGAAAUGCUUAGAUAUCACGAAGAACUCCGAUUGCGAAGGCAGUUCACUGGACUGCAACUGACACUGAGGCUCGAAAGUGUGGGUAUCAAACAGGAUUAGAUACCCGGGUAGUC
This 460-nucleotide ribosomal RNA is filed under the name uncultured bacterium. RNAcentral describes it as "partial 16S ribosomal RNA". It matches the Rfam family "Bacterial small subunit ribosomal RNA", at positions 338 to 795 of the family's 1533-position model. The record is from RNAcentral.